This 789-nucleotide non-coding RNA is filed under the name Allobaccha apicalis. Lineage: Eukaryota; Metazoa; Arthropoda; Insecta; Diptera; Syrphidae. The record is from RNAcentral.
AAAGUUUUAUUUUAGCUUAAAAAUUUAUUAUUAAUUUAUAUUAUAUGUAAAUUUUUGUGUGAAUUUAUAUUUAUUUUAAAAAUAAAUAUAAUUUUAUUUUAUUUGCAAUAAUUAAUAUUAUUAAUUAAAGAAAUUUAGAAAUAGAAAUAUUAAUUUAAUAUUAACUUAAUUUGUGCCAGCAGUUGCGGUUAUACAAAUAAUAUGAAUAAAUUUUAUUAAUAUUAGUUAAAUUUUAAUUUAAUAAAAUAAAAAUAAAUUUAUUAAGUGAAAUUUUAAAUUUAUAAUAUUUUAAAUAAGUAAGUUAUUAAAGCUAAUAAUUUUUAAAUAAAAACUAGGAUUAGAUACCCUAUUAUUUAAAAUGUAAGUAUAUUUAUUUGAGUAGUAAUAGUUAUGAUCUUGAAACUUAAAAAAUUUGGCGGUAUUUUAGUCUAUUCAGAGGAACUUGUUUAAUAAUCGAUAAUCCACGAUGUACCUUACUUAAAAUUGUUAAUCAAUUUAUAUAUCGUUGUUAUUAGAAUAUUUUAUAAGAAUUAAUAAUUUUCUAAAAUUUUUAUUAAAAUUAAUAUCAAAUCAAGGUGUAGUUUAUUUUUAAGUAUAAAUGAGUUACAAUAUAUUUUAUAUUUAUGAAUUUAAAUAUGAAAAAUUUAAUGAAAGUGGAUUUGAUAGUAAAAUUAUAAAGAUAAAUAAUUUGAUUUUAGCUCUAAAAUAUGUACAUAUCGCCCGUCACUCUUGUUAUUAAAAUAAGAUAAGUCGUAACAUAGUAGAUGUACUGGAAAGUGUAUCUAGAUU